Molecule: ribosomal RNA, 253 nt
Filed under: uncultured bacterium
Lineage: Bacteria
Description: partial 16S ribosomal RNA
Rfam family: Bacterial small subunit ribosomal RNA
Source: RNAcentral
UACGGAGGGUGCUAGCGUUGUUCGGAAUCACUGGGCGUAAAGGGCGUGUAGGCGGUCUGUUAAGUCUGAUGUGAAAUCCCCUCGCUCAACGAGGGAACUGCGUCGGAUACUGGCAGACUUGAGUACCGGAGAGGAAGGUGGAAUUCCCGGUGUAGCGGUGAAAUGCGUAGAUAUCUGGAGGAACACCGGUGGCGAAGGCGGCAUCCUGGACCGACACUGACGCUGAGGAGCGAAAGCCAGGGGAGCAAACGGG